Long non-coding RNA from Amphiprion ocellaris (clown anemonefish), 1712 nucleotides. Lineage: Eukaryota; Metazoa; Chordata; Actinopteri; Pomacentridae. The record is from Ensembl.
GACCCUGUCUUUUUUUUUUUUUUUCCAGCCAUGAAGAUCACAGUGCAUCUUGUACAAAAUUAGCAAAUGCAAGGCUUUGGCACACAUGAAAAUCUGAUGUCUGAUCCUGAACGUGGAGUUUUAGUGGAUCAAAAUCAAGAUUUUAGUGCAUAAUAAGGGCGAGGAAUAAAAGAGGAGCUGCCUGACAGUCCAGCAUCAGCAUUGAUGAAUGAUGGUUCUUACAUUCAGUACUCACACAUCUCUACUUGCUAGUUUACAUCUGACUUGUUAAAAGUCAGCCAGGAGCGUGUAUGGAGUUCCACUGACAGGCAUCCUCGCAUCCCUUAUACACUCUUAUCCAAAGCAGAAUGAGCUCCUCGUGUGACUGUUUUUUCUUGGGACUCCAGACUACAGAUGCCUGACAUCAGCCUCCCACAGAUUCUCUCAGUUUCCACUUCACCUCCUCAGUUCGCCCAAAUCAAAUUUGUGCAAGAAUUCAUUUUACUCCUUGCAAAUAAUUUUUAUAUAAAGACCACACACACCCCAGAGAGCACAUAUAUGACAUGGUGUCUUCUAAUGGUCUGAUGCUUCUACCAAACUUACAACGUUGGUUUUUUGGGUGACAUGCGUCCUACUUUAUGACUAGGAAAAUGGUUGGAAAGAUGAACCCUGACUGCAGUUGCAUCGCCAAACAAAGCUGGUUGGAAGCAUUUGUGGUAAUUUUAAACUGCACUGACAUAGCCGAUCAAAGUAAACGAAGAUACAAACUUAACUGAAAUGUCUUAUUUUUCUCUUUCCUGGGCUUGCACUUCUAUUGCCUCUCCUUCUCUAAGCGCUGAUGGUUUAUGUAUUUAAAUGCCUCAUGCUCUGUCAACCUGCCCUCCAAAAACACUGAUAUUAAUCUGCUGCAUGCCAGACACUAGUGCACUGCUGAAGUAAACAUAUAUUGUGCAGUGCUGAACAUGACCUCCUGUGUUGUUGUGAUGGAUGGUUGCAGGAGGAACAGGACGUAAGCAGUGUGGCCUUGGAUGAUGACAACCUCUGUUCUCUUCAGCUGCAGCGUAGUAAAUGCUGUUUUUUCAGGCAGGCAUUUGACUCCCUGGUACUAUUUAGCCUCUUUGUCUUUAACAGAGACCCAAGGAAUGUAAUAAGGUGUGGUACGAUCAUGCUGCCAACUCCAGGAUUCUGUCUGUUAUGUUUUUAUCUAGCUGAAUGAGCUUGAAAACCCCUGGUGUCAGAUGCAUUAGUAGAAGAAUACAAGUGAAAAUGUAGACUACAUCGAAUUAGAGAGUUUAAACUUUAUUGUCCCUUAUGGCUAUGGGGUGGCGAGGGUGGACCAUCAUCCGUGUUGCUGUGGCUGGGGGGUCCCCGGGACCUGGGGGCUGUGGUCGGGCGGGGGUUCUCCUGCGUGCCCGACGGGUCCGGGCAGGUGCGAUGGCUCUUGGUGGGCUGCGGGGGCUGGAUUGGCCGUCCUGGUGGGCGCUGUGGCUGUACUGCGGGCUGGUGGGUUGUCAGGGCGCAUAGCGGGGAGUGGGGGCCCUGGGUGUACUGCGCUCACCUGGGGCCUGGUGCGGGGGGUAUGCGGGGUGCCUCCCUGUCGGCGUCGCCGGGCCCCACCACACUGUCCAUUUUUACCCUCUGGACUCGCAUCGGGUCCCGGCUCCGGUGGUGGCCUGCCUUGUGAUGGGCUGGUUGCCGCCCCUUCGGUGGGCCACUCGGCCCCUGUGUCUGGC